Molecule: ribosomal RNA, 464 nt
Filed under: Flavobacterium sp. 01WB04.1-15
Lineage: Bacteria; Pseudomonadati; Bacteroidota; Flavobacteriia; Flavobacteriales; Flavobacteriaceae
Description: bacterial SSU rRNA
Rfam family: Bacterial small subunit ribosomal RNA
Source: RNAcentral
UGAGCUUGAUCCUGGCUCAGGAUGAACGCUAGCGGCAGGCUUAACACAUGCAAGUCGAGGGGUAUUAGUUUUCGGACUAAGAGACCGGCGCACGGGUGCGUAACGCGUAUGCAAUCUACCUUUUACAGAGGGAUAGCCCAGAGAAAUUUGGAUUAAUACCUCAUAGUAUAAUGACUCGGCAUCGAGAUAUUAUUAAAGUCACAACGGUAAAAGAUGAGCAUGCGUCCCAUUAGCUAGUUGGUAAGGUAACGGCUUACCAAGGCUACGAUGGGUAGGGGUCCUGAGAGGGAGAUCCCCCACACUGGUACUGAGACACGGACCAGACUCCUACGGGAGGCAGCAGUGAGGAAUAUUGGACAAUGGGCGCAAGCCUGAUCCAGCCAUGCCGCGUGCAGGAUGACGGUCCUAUGGAUUGUAAACUGCUUUUAUACGAGAAGAAACACUGCUUCGUGAAGCAGCUGACG